Long non-coding RNA from Polistes dominula (European paper wasp), 1773 nucleotides. The record is from RefSeq and is a predicted model, not a curated record. NCBI's taxonomy places the organism in Eukaryota, Metazoa, Arthropoda, Insecta, Hymenoptera, Vespidae.
AAAUUAAUUGUCACACGUAUGUUUUGUGAACACGAAAAUAAAAAACACCGUCUUCUACUGCCAAAGUUAUCCACUGCGUGCGCUAAUGUCCGUUUCGGCUUCCCCUACCAUGACUUCGCACGGUGCCUAUAUGGGGUUUAAUUUUGGGAUCUGGUCUCGUCGAACUACUAUCUUUUUAGGACAUUGCAACACUACUUAUCUGAGUUGUUUUCGAGAGCAAUACAACGAUUAUAGAGCUGGCAUUCUUUUGAGAUCUGCAAACAGGAAAAAGUCACUGGAGGCCAGUUCUAGAGAAUACCGGUGGAUGGAGAAGCAAUUUGAAGCCCAAUUCAUACAACUUUGCCAUCGUUUUUUUGAUCGAUUGUGAGCACGCGCGGCACCCACUUUGCACACAGCUUUCACAUGUCCAAGUAUUCAUUUAUUAUAAGUUCUACACGUUCCUUUCAUAUCUUUAGAGUCUCAACUAACUCAAUCAACUUUAUUUUAUUGUCAUUCAAAAUUAUUUUCUGAACUUUCUUGAUGUUUUCGUCGGUAAAAGCCUCUUUCGGUCGUCCGCUGCGUGCAUCAUCUUCGAUGCUCAUUUCGCCUCGUUUAAACUUAGCAAACCACUUCUCAACGGUUGAUUUUCCUGGUGCAGAGCUCGAAUAAUGUUUAUCAAGCCAAGCCUUGGCUUCAACAAUAUUAAUUUUUCAAUAAAAAGCAAUGUUUUAUUAACACACGAAAAUCUUUGUUAUCCAUCUUUUUGAAAAUAACAAAAGCCGCUUCACUCAAAAUGCUACAUCUCAGGAAUCAACUACUCGACAGUUGAGAAAUUUAUACAUAUAUCUUGUGAAGGUUAGUACUAACAAAAAAUGAUAUGGAUUUAAUCCUAGUAAUGCUAUCUAUGUGUUAGCCUACGGACUUUUCAGCCCAACUGUUAAUUAAGGGGCAUUAUUAGUGUGACCGCUUGAAAAUAAGGUAACAUUUCGGAAUUUUUUUUAAAGAAAACCACUGCAUGGAAUGUUUUAAUUUAUUUAGGAGAUAUUUGUGGAUAUGUAAUGAAUAUAUGACUACAUUUGUGGACCAAAAAAUUGAAAAUUAAGCGAGUUAUUCGCAAUCUCUCAAGGCCCCAACAAAAAAGUUCCAACACUAUAGUACUUCAGUUAUAGCACCUUCACAGUGCUUGAAAUAAAAAAAACUGAAAAGUUUAUUAAAUUAGAAAGAAUUUCCUCUACCAUGAACCUCGAUCGAAAUGAAAAAUUGUAAUUUAACAAAUUGGCGGAGUUUUAAAAAUAAGUUUCAAAUUUGGCGCGAACAUUUAAUGAUUUUUGGCCGGUCAAAAUUACAUUUUAUAUUCGAUCGGAAAACUGAAGGUUUAUGGUAUAUAGACAUAUAUAUAUAUAUAUAUAUAUAUAAAGCUGCAACAAGAAUUAAAUCGAUCGGAUGAUUUGUCUUCGAGUUCUAACUACAUCAAAUCUGGAAAAUAUAAUUUCGACAAAAAUGCGUUUAAAAUUUAAGCUACUGAUGUCAUCGUUAUAAAUACAAAAAUAUUAGAUAGCUGUAACAAAAAAACUAUUUGAGAUAAGCAUUUGAAAUUUUAGUAUGUUAUUUUUAGAGUAAUAGACUAUCAAAAUAUGCAAAAAAGAAUACGAUUUGUUCAAAAUUUUACACUAAUGGUGUCCCUUAACAAGUUGAGCGCCACGUCCGCUAUCGGUGAUGGACAUUAGACUUUCAGUUUGGGCCGCGUCAGUCACGCAUGACUGACAGCGUAUAACAUGAUACAUCUAAAUAGUG